RNAcentral lists this ribosomal RNA (482 nucleotides) under uncultured bacterium. Its description in RNAcentral is "partial 16S ribosomal RNA". It matches the Rfam family "Bacterial small subunit ribosomal RNA", at positions 28 to 523 of the family's 1533-position model. The record is from RNAcentral.
GACGAACGCUGGCGGCGUGCUUAACACAUGCAAGUCGAACGAUGAAGCCGGAGCUUGCUCCGGUGGAUUAGUGGCGAACGGGUGAGUAACACGUGAGCAAUCUGCCCUUGACUCUGGGAUAACUGCGGGAAACUGUAGCUAAUACCGGAUACGAGGCUCGAAGGCAUCUUCGGGUCUGGAAAGAAUUUCGGUCAAGGAUGAGCUCGCGGCCUAUCAGCUUGUCGGUGAGGUAUGGCUCACCAAGGCGACGACGGGUAGCCGGCCUGAGAGGGUGACCUGCCACACUGGGACUGAGACACGGGCCAGACUCCUACGGGAGGCAGCGGUGGGGAAUAUUGCACAAGGGGCGGAAGCCUGAUGCAGCAACGCCGCGUGAGGGAUGACGGCCUUCGGGUUGUAAACCUCUUUUAGCAGGGAAGAAGCGAAAGUGACGGUACCUGCAGAAAAAGCACCGGCUAACUACGUGCCAGCCGCCGCCGUAA